RNAcentral lists this ribosomal RNA (410 nucleotides) under bacterium enrichment culture clone ALO1_GLFRUDD03G9L4X. RNAcentral describes it as "bacterial SSU rRNA". It matches the Rfam family "Bacterial small subunit ribosomal RNA", at positions 9 to 419 of the family's 1533-position model. The record is from RNAcentral.
GAGUUUGAUCGUGGCUCAGAUUGAACGCUGGCGGCAUGCCUUACACAUGCAAGUCGAACGGCAGCACGGGAGCUUGCUCCUGGUGGCGAGUGGCGAACGGGUGAGUAAUGCAUCGGAACGUAUCCUGGAGUGGGGGAUAACGUAGCGAAAGUUACGCUAAUACCGCAUAUUCUGUGAGCAGGAAAGCGGGGGACCUUCGGGCCUCGCGCUCUUGGAGCGGCCGAUGUCGGAUUAGCUAGUUGGUGAGGUAAAGGCUCACCAAGGCGACGAUCCGUAGCAGGUCUGAGAGGAUGAUCUGCCACACUGGAACUGAGACACGGCCCAGACUCCUACGGGAGGCAGCAGUGGGGAAUCUUCCGCAAUGGACGAAAGUCUGACGGAGCAACGCCGCGUGUAUGACGAAGGCCUUC